CUACGGGUCGCACCAGUGGGGAAUAUUGGACAAUGGGCGCAAGCCUGAUCCAGCAAUGCCGCGUGAGUGAAGACGGCCUUAGGGUUGUAAAACUUUUUCGCUAGGGAAGAUAAUGACUGUACCUAGUAAAGAAGUCCCGGCUAACUCCGUGCCAGCAGCCGCGGUAAUACGGAGGGGACUAGCGUUGUUCGGAAUUACUGGGCGUAAAGAGUUCGUAGGCGGACUGACAAGUUAGAGGUGAAAUCCCAGGGCUCAACCCUGGAACUGCCUUUAAAACUGUCAGUCUAGAGACCGGAAGAGGUUAGGGGAAUACCUAGUGUAGAGGUGAAAUUCGUAGAUAUUAGGUGGAACACCAGUGGCGAAGGCGCCUAACUGGUCCGGUACUGACGCUGAGGAACGAAAGCGUGGGGAGCAAACAGGAUUAGAUACCCCGGUAGUC
RNAcentral lists this ribosomal RNA (439 nucleotides) under uncultured bacterium. RNAcentral's name for it is "partial 16S ribosomal RNA". It matches the Rfam family "Bacterial small subunit ribosomal RNA", at positions 339 to 795 of the family's 1533-position model. The record is from RNAcentral.